This 371-nucleotide transfer-messenger RNA is filed under the name Bacteroidia. RNAcentral's name for it is "UKL13-3 sp001602415 Standard tmRNA". It matches the Rfam family "transfer-messenger RNA". From Rfam's summary of the family: Bacterial tmRNA, also known as 10Sa RNA or SsrA, is named for its dual tRNA and mRNA-like properties. RNAcentral also lists the same sequence under 2 other names. Lineage: Bacteria; Pseudomonadati; Bacteroidota. The record is from RNAcentral.
GGGGCUGACCGGAAUUGACGGGAUGUGCAAUAGGCGCGUAAGCAUGCCGAGACUUGGGAUAUUGGCUCGUAAAUCACAAUACCCGAACAAUCAAUUGGCGAAAAUCAAUUCGCUAUGGCUGCCUAAUCAGGAAGAUUACGCACUAGCCAUUGUCUCGUAAGUGUUAGCUUAACCGCAUUUACAUCAGAGGCAUCGUUUGGAAAAGCCUGAUGAGCUGUGGCCUUUACUUCGCAUCAGUACCCAAGAGGAUAAGGGUAGGUUUGGCCCGUAACACAGCCUGACCAACCACGAAAAAUAAUGUGUCACUCAGCAUGAAGAAAGCGUGACCGUUCCAUCUCCGGACCGGGGUUCGACUCCCCGCAGCUCCACCA